GUGGGGAAUCUUGCGCAAUGGCCGAAAGGCUGACGCAGCGACGCCGCGUGUGGGAGGACGCCUUUCGGGGUGUAAACCACUGUUGCCCGGGACGAACACCCACUUUCGAGUGGGCUGACGGUACCGGGUGAGGAAGCACCGGCUAACUCCGUGCCAGCAGCCGCGGUAAUACGGAGGGUGCGAGCGUUGUCCGGAAUCAUUGGGCGUAAAGGGCGCGUAGGUGGCCCGGUCAGUCAGUGGUGAAAGCGCGGGGCUCAACUCCGCGUCGGCCAUUGAUACUGCUGGGCUUGAGCACUGUAGAGGCAGGCGGAAUUCCGGGUGUAGCGGUGGAAUGCGUAGAGAUCCGGAAGAACACCGGUGGCGAAGGCGGCCUGCUGGGCAGUAGCUGACACUGAGGCGCGACAGCGUGGGGAGCAAACAGGAUUAGAAACCCGUGUAGUCC
Molecule: ribosomal RNA, 442 nt
Filed under: uncultured bacterium
Lineage: Bacteria
Description: bacterial SSU rRNA
Rfam family: Bacterial small subunit ribosomal RNA
Source: RNAcentral